AAGAAGUGUCUUCUGCUUCCCGCCAUGGUUCUGAGGCCUCCCCAGCCAUGUGGAACUGUGAUGAACACCAGUUAAUAAAAGAGGAGUGAGGAGCUGAAAAUAGGAAACUAUACCCUACCCCUGCCCCCGAGACCACGUGUGACAGAAAUGAUGUGGACACAGAGAAGAUUGGCAGACCCUCAAGAAGAGAAAUCGGUGUGGGGGGUCUGGGUAGAACAGAUGGUUUGCUCAAUCACACGGAUUAAGGAAAAUCAUCAUCUCCUUGCCAUUUGCACCAGACCUGGAUUCCUAGCGUCUCCAUCUGGAGUGCGGCUGGUGGGGGGCCUCCACCGCUGUGAAGGGCGGGUGGAGGUGGAACAGAAAGGCCAGUGGGGCACCGUGUGUGAUGACGGCUGGGACAUUAAGGACGUAGCUGUGGUGUGCCGGGAGCUGGGCUGUGGAGCUGCCAGCGGAACCCCCAGUGGUAUUUUGUAUGAGCCACCAGCAGAAAAAGAGCAAAAGG
This 502-nucleotide small RNA is filed under the name Pan troglodytes (chimpanzee). Its description in RNAcentral is "processed transcript". Lineage: Eukaryota; Metazoa; Chordata; Mammalia; Primates; Hominidae. The record is from RNAcentral.